UUUUUAAAUAGAUGUGAAAUGCUGCCAAUAGUGGCAAGCUCAGCCAUAGUUCCAUAGUAUUGUUGUUGUGCAUUCUACUCUUUCAAGAGACAUGUUCAAAGCAAAAUCCCACCUGUGACCUCUAGGGUCACAGGGAUUGUUAUGUCUGCAUGUGCAUCAACAAAAAUGUUGCAGCUGCCAGUUAAUGUUUUCUGUGAUAUUUUCUCACUCGAGUUCGCGAGAAGUUGAGUUCUAAACAGGGUAAGGUGGAAGUUUGGUGUACUGCACUCAGAAGUUACUCAGGAUCACUUUGUUGAAUUGCGCGUUUAGUAUUAGUAGUUGUAGGUUUUGGGGGACGUCGUAAGUAGCCGUCUUGUCUUUUUGGGGUCUUUUUUUCUGUAGGGGAGUUGUUGUAUUUGUGUGGGUGUUUGGACUAUAUGGAAUAGAAUAUGAUUUUAAUGGACUAAUAAGGACACAAUUUGGGUUCUGAAUUGAUGUAAGGCUCUGUGGUUAGACUCAUAUUCACUUGUAUUCUCAGGUGUGUUACAAACAAGGCAAAAAAAAAGGACAAUAUGUUUUUGGAGAAAAGUGCAGCAUUGACCAGACUCAGUCAGUUAGAAGUGUUACAUCAGAACUGUAAGGAAAUAAAUGUUGUUGUAAGGGUAAACUAGCAUCAGAUCCACGGAGUGCACCCCUCCCCUUCAAAGCAUUCCAAAUCGAACUGAAUAUAUGUGUUAUAUCUAUUGAAUGUUUACAUAUUUGCACCAGACAAUGAUUUAAGUGAAGGGACUGUGCCAGAGUUGAUGGUUUUGCUAUAGGUCCUCAGUCGGAGCCAGUUGUGGCAUUUUGACUAGAAGUGCCUCUAUCGUAGCCAUUCUGUCAACAUCUUGGAUACACAUGUCUUUGAACAAACUGGGAAUUGAUGCAUAUUCGUAAAUGAAUUAAUCACAUCUAUUCAAUGUCCCGCUUUUGUCUGUUUUUAUUCAACUUUUAACAUUUGUAAUUUACUUGGAAUGUAUUUUGUUGUUUUCUAAGAAUGUUUUGCAUAUCAAUUAGAUUUGAUUGUAUGAAGUGAAGGUGACUAGGAUUUUUCAUUUUUUAAAGUCAAUGGCUGAAUCUCAAAUCACUCCCUUUACCGCACCCCCCUGGCCAGCCAUUUGCACAUACACGUGUGCCUCUGCCAUAUGCAUAAGUGCCCCAAAGCUGAGGGAGUGGAAAUUAUCAAGGGUGUUGGGGCUAAUUAGACCCUUCUAUAGCCACUUCGACCAAGCCAGAAAGGCUGCAGGCUCCAGAGGGAAGUGUUAUCCGGGGAGGGGUACAGGAGUCUAUCACCGGCUGGGCUGAAUGCAUCGACACCUAGAGGUAAUGCGACGUCAGGAAGAACUACGCCCUCUAGUGGUCUAGGCGCCAACUUGAAGCACCGGGAUAUGUUAGGAGUUUGCAUAAUUUCAUACAAAAGAGUGGACAGGUGUUCCUAAUUAUAUAUGUGCAUUUGUUUGUGCCUGUUUCUGAUACUUGACACGUAAAAUAUGAAACAUCUCCCAAAUUAAAUGUUUGACUGUUGAGGUUAUUAUAUUGUAAAACAACGAGGAAUUUUAUCAUUUUGAAUUUCAUGCUCGUUUUAUUAUUUAAAUGUAGAUCUGGAAUUGCAUCGUUCAAGCUAAUGCCGAGACCCUUAGUAGUUCUUCCUGACGUCUUAUUACCUCUAGGUGUUGACGCAGUCAGCCCAGCCGGUGAUACACUCGUGUCACCCCGCGAUGAGCAGCUACAUAAAGCAUCCUCCAUUCAUGCUGCAAAGGCGUCGGUUUCCUCCUUAACUAGCUUUAAUGGCGAGCAGCCCUAAAAUACCUGGGAAAAUAUGCAUACUGUCUUAAUAAAACACCAUUUUCUACCACCAUGAUGCUACUUCCGGACGUUGCAUGCAGCCUUCAGACAGGGGCAAACAACAGACUGGUGCAACCUAGCAUGGUGGAGGAAAAUUGUUUCAUUAAUUAAGACAGUACGCAUAUAUUCCCAGUUUUCUUUAGGGCUGCUCGCCAUUAAAGUUAGUCUAGGAGGAAAUCGUCACAUUUGCAGCCUAAAGGGAGGAUGUUUUAUGUCGUUUCUAGUCAAGGGGGGACACAAGCAUAUUACCGGCUGGGCAGAUCACCCUGGGACGUCAGAGGGCAAACGAAGUCAAAAAUAAUAUUGCCCUCUGACGAACCUUGGGGCUGCAUUCAAGUCACGAGUGUGUCCCAAAGUUGAUGGGUUUAUUGAGACCCUCUUUACUCUCGUUUCGCUAGCAACAAGUGACAAUUGAGGGUCCUCCGAGUGAGUUGGUAGGGAAGAGUAGCCGGUUUGGGAUAUAACUAGUAUUCUGUCCCAGUCCUUUACCAGAAACAAGGUAGACAUCUUGGAGAUGCAUGGUUUGCGAUGCAUGCGUUGGCCUGUCGGUAGGUACUAUCUGUCAGUGGUACCCAGUUUUCAAGGGGCACCCUGCAGCUCAGGGAUUCAAAUUGACAGGGAAGCACUGCUUUGGUUCAUGGUUGACAUGUUUGAUAUUUGUUGACCGGUGUGUGUUUUAAUGGAUGUUGGCUUUAUAAUUGAGGAAGAUAUAUUUUAAUCUUGCUCAAUUGGGGAAGAUACCUUUCAAUCUUGCUCAAUUGCAUCCUGUAGCUCAGGGAUUAAAAUUGACAGGGAAGCUCAUCUUUUGGUUCAUGGUUGACAUGUUAGAUUUUUGUUGACCCGUGUGUGUACCUUUUAAUCUUGCUCAAUUUAAGUGGUAAAGGUCCCUAACCACUAAGUGUCAAAAAUAAUAGGGCCAGAUCAUCACAACACCUUUGCCUCUGACACAAACAAUUACAUUUACGCUCAUAACUCUUUACUCUGCUGUGCUGUGUUACAAUCAACACUUUAUUUUAUUUGAGGGAACACUAUUGGGGUCUUAUGCAUAAAUCCAUUAUACACUUUAUUGAAAUGGUGAUUAACAACCUCUCGCUUAUUUUCAAUAUGUAUUUGUCAACAUCGUUUUUCUCAUUCUCUUUGAUAGAAUGUAUCAAUGAAAAGAAAUGCUUUUGAAUUGCAGUGAUAUCAGGUGUCAUAUCAUGUUUUAGGGGGGCACAAUGCUUUGUUUAUGUAUGUUGGUGUUCUGGGUUUAAAAAAGUUGCAGACAGAGAAAUUAAAAAGUGAAGAUGUGAUGUUCUACUGUAACAUGUUGUUUCUUAAAGCUACAAUCCUUUGAAAUAAUAACAAAGGGUCACCCCACCUCUGUUUUGGUAAAAAUCUGAGGGAUGGGCCUGGAGAAGUGUUACCACUCUCAAAUUCAUAGACGGAGCUAUGGAUGCAAGGACUGACCAUCCCAUGAUAUAAACAUUCUAGUUUUUGCCAUGUUUUGAGGCUAUAAAGUGUUUUUAAAAUAUAUUUUCUUUGUUUACAAACAUCGGAGCAAAACAAGCUACGUUAUAUUUUGGAUUCUGAUGGGGUACAACAAUUGAACUCAUUUUAUAAGUAAAAAUGUUCAAGAAUCAAUGGCGUAUGUAUCAUUAAUUCGUGAGUCUAAAAAUUGAUGUUGCAACUAAGGAUUCUAGCUUUAACCUCCAUCAUGGGUUUAUGUACUUUGUGUCCAUGUGUCUGCCCUGACUGUAACUUUGACUACCUGUGGCUAUCAGAGCAAUACGUGUUCAAAGCAUGCAUAGAAUGUCAGGACUUGAAACUAAAUAAACAUGAACCUUAUGCAAC
Molecule: long non-coding RNA, 3696 nt
Organism: Oncorhynchus tshawytscha (Chinook salmon)
Lineage: Eukaryota; Metazoa; Chordata; Actinopteri; Salmoniformes; Salmonidae
Source: Ensembl